AUUGAACGCUGGCGGCAUGCUUUACACAUGCAAGUCGAACGGCAGCGCGGGCUUCGGCCUUGCGGCGAGUGGCGAACGGGUGAGUAAUGCAUCGGAACGUGCCCAGUAGUGGGGGAUAGCGCGCCGAAAGGCGGACUAAUACCGCAUACGACCUGAGGGUGAAAGCGUGGGACCGAAAGGCCUCGCGCUAUCUGAUCAGCCGAUGUCGGAUUAGCUAGUUGGUGGGGUAAAGGCUUACCAAGGCGACGAUCCGUAGCUGGUCUGAGAGGACGACCAGCCACACUGGGACUGAGACACGGCCCAGACUCCUACGGGAGGCAGCAGUGGGGAAUUUUGGACAAUGGGGGCAACCCUGAUCCAGCCAUGCCGCGUGCGGGAAGAAGGCCUUCGGGUUGUAAACCGCUUUUGUUCGGGAAGAAAUCCUCUGGGCUAAUACCCCGGGGGGAUGACGGUACCGGAAGAAUAAGCACCGGCUAACUACGUG
Molecule: ribosomal RNA, 484 nt
Filed under: uncultured bacterium
Lineage: Bacteria
Description: partial 16S ribosomal RNA
Rfam family: Bacterial small subunit ribosomal RNA
Source: RNAcentral